RNAcentral lists this ribosomal RNA (273 nucleotides) under uncultured bacterium. Its description in RNAcentral is "partial 16S ribosomal RNA". It matches the Rfam family "Bacterial small subunit ribosomal RNA", at positions 81 to 354 of the family's 1533-position model. The record is from RNAcentral.
CUUUAUGAUGGCGACCGGCGCACGGGUGCGUAACGCGUAUGCAACCUACCUUUUACAGGGGCAUAACACUGAGAAAUUGGUACUAAUUCCCCAUAAUAUCUGAGACGGCAUUCGUUUUGGGUUGAAAACUCCGGUGGUAAAAGAUGGGCAUGCGUUGUAUUAGCUAGUUGGUGAGGUAACGGCUCACCAAGGCGACGAUACAUAGGGGGACUGAGAGGUUAACCCCCCACAUUGGUACUGAGACACGGACCAAACUCCUACGGAAGGCAGCAG